RNAcentral lists this non-coding RNA (22 nucleotides) under Mus musculus (house mouse). Lineage: Eukaryota; Metazoa; Chordata; Mammalia; Rodentia; Muridae. The record is from RNAcentral.
UGCUUCUAGAUGACAGGCCAGG